Long non-coding RNA from Ictalurus punctatus (channel catfish), 384 nucleotides. Lineage: Eukaryota; Metazoa; Chordata; Actinopteri; Siluriformes; Ictaluridae. The record is from Ensembl.
UUAACAUAGUGAGGCUGCUGGAGGAGCUGGUCUCCACCACCACAGCAGGAUUGGAAAGACUGCUGGCACAUUAGUUGACCUGCAGGCCAGGCUGAGCACAACUGACCCGAUCUGUGGAUUUCUGUCACACUUCACACUUGUCCAUUUAAGCUAGAUCUACUCGCAGUUGGUAUGGAAAUGCUUGGGCUGGCAGCAGCUCAUUAUCUUAACGAUGUUUUACAACAGGCAGUGAGACAUAAAUCUAUAAUCUCACAUGUUUAAUUGGACCGUCAGUGGGACAUUGUGCAAUUGAUUUGAAUAAUACAUUAAGAAGGAAGACAUUCUUGAUCCUUUGGAGUCCCAUUUCAAGCUGGCAACAUCCUGCAUGAUGCAAGUAUAAGCUGG